This 337-nucleotide unclassified non-coding RNA is filed under the name soil metagenome. RNAcentral's name for it is "partial contains 5.8S ribosomal RNA, internal transcribed spacer 2, and large subunit ribosomal RNA". The stretch from base 1 to 120 matches the Rfam family "5.8S ribosomal RNA", at positions 35 to 154 of the family's 154-position model. The record is from RNAcentral.
GAUGAAGAACGCAGCGAAAUGCGAUAAGUAGUGUGAAUUGCAGAAUUCAGUGAAUCAUGGAAUCUUUGAACGCACAUUGCGCCCCUUGGUAUUCCAUGGGGCAUGCCUGUUCGAGCGUCAUUUGUACCUUCAAGCUCUGCUUGGUGUUGGGUGUUUGUCUCGCCUCUGCGUGUAGACUCGCCUCAAAACAAUUGGCAGCCGGCGUAUUGAUUUCGGAGCGCAGUACAUCUCGCGCUUUGCACUCAUAACGACGACGUCCAAAAGUACAUUUUUACACUCUUGACCUCGGAUCAGGUAGGGAUACCCGCUGAACUUAAGCAUAUCAAUAAGCGGAGGA